UCACUGAACAGUGAUGCCGCCUCUACAUC
This 29-nucleotide non-coding RNA is filed under the name Homo sapiens (human). The record is from RNAcentral. Lineage: Eukaryota; Metazoa; Chordata; Mammalia; Primates; Hominidae.